RNAcentral lists this ribosomal RNA (686 nucleotides) under uncultured bacterium. RNAcentral describes it as "bacterial SSU rRNA". It matches the Rfam family "Bacterial small subunit ribosomal RNA", at positions 72 to 779 of the family's 1533-position model. The record is from RNAcentral.
UUGAAGCUUUCUUUGCCUUUUUGGCGGACGGGUGAGUAACGCGUGGGUAACCUGCCUCAUUCAGGGGGAUAACAGUUAGAAAUGACUGCUAAUACCGCAUAAGCGCACGGUUUCGCAUGGAACAGUGUGAAAAACUCCGGUGGUAUGGGAUGGACCCGCGUCUGAUUAGCUGGUUGGCGGGGUAACGGCCCACCAAGGCGACGAUCAGUAGCCGGCCUGAGAGGGUGAACGGCCACAUUGGGACUGAGACACGGCCCAAACUCCUACGGGAGGCAGCAGUGGGGAAUAUUGCACAAUGGGGGAAACCCUGAUGCAGCGACGCCGCGUGAAGGAAGAAGUAUUUCGGUAUGUAAACUUCUAUCAGCAGGGAAGAAAAUGACGGUACCUGACUAAGAAGCCCCGGCUAACUACGUGCCAGCAGCCGCGGUAAUACGUAGGGGGCAAGCGUUAUCCGGAUUUACUGGGUGUAAAGGGAGCGUAGGCGGCGAUGCAAGUCAGAAGUGAAAGCCCGGGGCUCAACUCCGGGACUGCUUUUGAAACUGUGUUGCUAGAUUGCAGGAGAGGUAAGUGGAAUUCCUAGUGUAGCGGUGAAAUGCGUAGAUAUUAGGAGGAACACCAGUGGCGAAGGCGGCUUACUGGACUGUAAAUGACGCUGAGGCUCGAAAGCGUGGGGAGCAAACAGGAUU